UGGGGAAUAUUGCACAAUGGGCGCAAGCCUGAUGCAGCCAUGCCGCGUGUAUGAAGAAGGCCUUCGGGUUGUAAAGUACUUUCAGCGGGGAGGAAGGGAGUAAAGUUAAUACCUUUGCUCAUUGACGUUACCCGCAGAAGAAGCACCGGCUAACUCCGUGCCAGCAGCCGCGGUAAUACGGAGGGUGCAAGCGUUAAUCGGAAUUAUUGGGCGUAAAGCGCACGCAGGCGGUGUGUUAAGUCAGAUGUGAAAUCCCCGGGCUCAACCUGGGAACUGCAUCUGAUACUGGCAAGCUGGAGUCUCGUAGAGGGGGGUAGAAUUCCAGGUGUAGCGGUGAAAUGCGUAGAGAUCUGGAAGAAUACCGGUGGCGAAGGCGGCCCCCUGGACGAAGACUGACGCUCAGGUGCGAAAGCGUGGGGAGCAAACAGG
Molecule: ribosomal RNA, 429 nt
Filed under: Chloroflexota bacterium
Lineage: Bacteria; Bacillati; Chloroflexota
Description: Chloroflexi bacterium partial 16S ribosomal RNA
Rfam family: Bacterial small subunit ribosomal RNA
Source: RNAcentral